UUAAAAUAAAAAGAUAGAGAAUAAACUAGUCAAAGAAUCAUGCACAUUGUUGCCAUCAUCACUUGAUGUUAGUGCAGGUGGUAAAACUAAGGAUGUUCAAGGAGACCUGCCAAAUUUCCCACUUAGUUUUACCUUGUAUAUCACAUAUUUUCCCGCUCCAGAUGUAACUUGGAAGUGGGUAACUGAUCCUUUAAUUUUAUUUCUUUAAUUAUUUUUUCUCUUACUUGAAAAUUCUUGAAUUUCUAAUAAUAAUAAAAAAAUUGUGAUGCUGUGAAAUCAUUCCUUGCUUGAAAAGAAAAAUGCUCAGGCAUUUUUUUUUGGGUGUAGCACUCCUUGCUUUAAGGAAUACUCAAUGCUUCUUUGUGACUGGCACUUGUGGUUGUAGUUUUGAUAGUUUUUCAUGAGGGCCUCUUUGUUGUCUUUGUUGUUCUCUGUUUGUAGUUUUAUGUCUUAUAUGUACUAUCUUAGUCUGAGGCUGUCUAGACUGUAAUACAGUGUAGGUGAUUUCUUAUCAUCUUUUUUUAAUACAAUCUUGUUUGGUUGGGAUUGAAAUGAUAGUGUUUAUGUGAGAAUAGAAAUAGAAUGGGAAAGAAAUAUCAAUUCUUUUGUUUGGUUGAAAUUUUGUUUGGAAUGGCAUGGACUAACAUUACUUUGACCAAAAUAUCCAUAUGCAACUAUAACUAUCAUGUAAUAUGAUUUUGUAAGCUGAGUAGACUAAAUAUUAAAAUUAUAUUUUUGAGUAAUUAAUAAAAAAAAUAUUUUGUUGUA
Humulus lupulus (European hop) is the source of this 768-nucleotide long non-coding RNA. RefSeq lists it as uncharacterized. The transcript has 2 exons. The record is from RefSeq and is a predicted model, not a curated record. Lineage: Eukaryota; Viridiplantae; Streptophyta; Magnoliopsida; Rosales; Cannabaceae.